CGUGUAGGCGGUCAAGUAAGUGGGAUGUGAAACGCCUCGGCUUACCCGAGGACCUGCAUCCCAAACUGCUUGGCUUGAGUAUGGGAGAGGAUGAGGGAAUUCCUGGUGUAGCGGUGAAAUGCGUAGAUAUCAGGAGGAACACCGGUGGCGAAAGCGCUCAUCUGGCCCAAUACUGACGCUGAGGCGCGAAAGCUAGGGAGCAAACG
RNAcentral lists this ribosomal RNA (206 nucleotides) under uncultured bacterium. RNAcentral describes it as "partial 16S ribosomal RNA". It matches the Rfam family "Bacterial small subunit ribosomal RNA", at positions 568 to 774 of the family's 1533-position model. The record is from RNAcentral.